Molecule: non-coding RNA, 74 nt
Organism: Acanthoscelides obtectus
Lineage: Eukaryota; Metazoa; Arthropoda; Insecta; Coleoptera; Chrysomelidae
Source: the annotation of a GenBank genome assembly
GCCUGGGUAGCGUGGUGGUUAGCGUGUCGAGCUAGCAACCCGGGGCUUGCAGGUUCAAAUCUCCGCCCCAGAUG